CUGAAAAUUCAGGCAACCCUU
This 21-nucleotide non-coding RNA is filed under the name Arabidopsis thaliana (thale cress). The record is from RNAcentral. Lineage: Eukaryota; Viridiplantae; Streptophyta; Magnoliopsida; Brassicales; Brassicaceae.